UUUAGCUAUCAAUUAAGAUGGCGACCGGCGCACGGGUGAGUAACACGUAUCCAACCUGCCGAUAACUCGGGGAUAGCCUUUCGAAAGAAAGAUUAAUAUCCGAUAGUAUAUUAAAACCGCAUGGUUUUACUAUUAAAGAAUUUCGGUUAUCGAUGGGGAUGCGUUCCAUUAGUUUGUUGGCGGGGUAACGGCCCACCAAGACUACGAUGGAUAGGGGUUCUGAGGGGAAGGUCCCCCACAUUGGAACUGAGACACGGUCCAA
RNAcentral lists this ribosomal RNA (262 nucleotides) under uncultured bacterium. RNAcentral describes it as "partial 16S ribosomal RNA". It matches the Rfam family "Bacterial small subunit ribosomal RNA", at positions 68 to 334 of the family's 1533-position model. The record is from RNAcentral.